AGAGAAGAAGUUUAUAAAAUAUUUGACCUGCACUCAAAAGAAGGCGAUUACUCGUCCUACUCUA
RNAcentral lists this transfer RNA (64 nucleotides) under Capitulum mitella. Its description in RNAcentral is "tRNA-Ala". Lineage: Eukaryota; Metazoa; Arthropoda; Thecostraca; Pollicipedomorpha; Pollicipedidae. The record is from RNAcentral.